GCGUUUAUCAUCAAUAUUUUUUCAUUUGAAUUAGACUAGCAUCCAAUUAUUAAUAACAAUAGUUGGAAUUAGGAUCCCACACCAGCCAAUACGUCGGCACCGCUUACAAAAAUAUAUUCAACAAUAAAAAAAACAAAAGCAGUCUGGAUGGCUUGGAAACUAAUCUUCCGAAUGUGAACCCAAACAAAACAACUCUUUCUCUACGC
This 206-nucleotide long non-coding RNA is filed under the name Elaeis guineensis (African oil palm). RNAcentral's name for it is "long non-coding RNA (EGUI_LNC010661)". The record is from RNAcentral. Lineage: Eukaryota; Viridiplantae; Streptophyta; Magnoliopsida; Arecales; Arecaceae.